UGGGGAAUCUUGCGCAAUGGGCGAAAGCCUGACGCAGCCAUGCCGCGUGAAUGAUGAAGGUCUUAGGAUUGUAAAAUUCUUUCACCGGGGACGAUAAUGACGGUACCCGGAGAAGAAGCCCCGGCUAACUUCGUGCCAGCAGCCGCGGUAAUACGAAGGGGGCUAGCGUUGAUCGGAAUUACUGGGCGUAAAGGGCGCGUAGGCGGAUCGUUAAGUCAGAGGUGAAAUCCCAGGGCUCAACCCUGGAACUGCCUUUGAUACUGGCGAUCUUGAGUAUGAGAGAGGUAUGUGGAACUCCGAGUGUAGAGGUGAAAUUCGUAGAUAUUCGGAAGAACACCAGUGGCGAAGGCGACAUACUGGCUCAUUACUGACGCUGAGGCGCGAAAGCGUGGGGAGCAAACAGG
Molecule: ribosomal RNA, 404 nt
Filed under: bacterium
Lineage: Bacteria
Description: partial 16S ribosomal RNA
Rfam family: Bacterial small subunit ribosomal RNA
Source: RNAcentral